UAACGUAGACGAAAGUUACGCUAAUACCCGCAUAUUCUGUGAGCAGGAAAGCAGGGGAUCGCAAGACCUUGCGCUGAUUGAGCGGCCGAUAUCAGAUUAGCUAGUUGGUGAGGUAAAGGCUCACCAAGGCGACGAUCUGUAGCGGGUCUGAGAGGAUGAUCCGCCACACUGGAACUGAGACACGGUCCAGACUCCUACGGGAGGCAGCAGUGGGGAAUUUUGGGACAAUGGGCGCAAGCCUGAUCCAGCCAUGCCGCGUGAGUGAAGAAGGCCUUCGGGUUGUAAAGCUCUUUCGGCCGGGAAGAAAUCGCACAGGUUAAUACCCUGUGUGGAUGACGGUACCGGAAUAAGAAGCACCGGCUAACUACGUG
RNAcentral lists this ribosomal RNA (371 nucleotides) under uncultured bacterium. Its description in RNAcentral is "bacterial SSU rRNA". It matches the Rfam family "Bacterial small subunit ribosomal RNA", at positions 144 to 507 of the family's 1533-position model. The record is from RNAcentral.